CACCACCGUGGCGCCGGAUUCGGCCAGCGACUGGCUGAUGCCCAGUCCAAUGCCGGCGGUGCUGCCGCUGACGAUGGCCA
This 80-nucleotide transfer RNA is filed under the name Pseudomonas fluorescens. RNAcentral's name for it is "tRNA-Ile". The record is from RNAcentral. Lineage: Bacteria; Pseudomonadati; Pseudomonadota; Gammaproteobacteria; Pseudomonadales; Pseudomonadaceae.